Molecule: long non-coding RNA, 1557 nt
Filed under: Hordeum vulgare
Lineage: Eukaryota; Viridiplantae; Streptophyta; Magnoliopsida; Poales; Poaceae
Description: long non-coding RNA (HVUL_LNC006252)
Source: RNAcentral
UGAUGAUGCUUGCAUCAAGAUCCUCAAGAACUGCCACCGUGCUCUUCCAGCCAGCGGUAAGGUGAUCGUCGUGGAAAUCGUCCUGCCGGCCACCACGGAGGCGACUCGUGAGGCGCAGGAUAUGUUCCUUCUAGACGUCAUCAUGUUCAACAACCUUGAGGGUGGAAAGGAGAGGACUGAGCAGGAUUUUGUAAACAUGGCUAGGCUCUCUGGGUUCGAUGGUGCCUUCCGUUCCACCUACAUCUUCGGUAACUUCUGGGCCCUCGAGUUCAACAAGUAGCUGCCAUGGUCAUGCAGACUGCAGCAACUCCGAUAUGGAUAUAUCUACGCCAUGCCUGAAUCGUUGUUUCUAUUAAUCUCUUCUCCUGUAUGUAUUACUUCGACUGUAUCCUUGUUUACAUUAAUGUUGUAUAAGCUGGGCAACAGUACCUAUUUGUAUUCGCGCAAUAUGAUGUGAACUUAUUUGUAUUCUCCUCGGCGUGAGGAAGGACGUUAUAAUAUUUAUGCUUCCUCCUACAAUAAUCAGCUCAUGGAAACGAUCCAUUUGUUCUGACCAUUGCUGCAUUACUUGUACUACUUGGCGGAGCCAGGUAGAAGCUGUUGGGGGACCAAAGGGUAAAACACAAGCGUUUAAGGGUGUAAAAUGCUAAAAAAAUCUCACCUAAGCUCUUCUUAAAAAAAMYUUGUAGUUGUAUAACGUUGAGGGGGUCAUAGAGGAUUGAGUAGUUAAACAAUUAAGUAGUUAUGUGAGGACUCUCUCUGAANUUCUUGUGUUCCAAACAGAUUUAGCUUAGCACUUCUUUGAAUUUUGGCCGCAGGUGUGGAAAAUAUAGGUGGUAAUAUGUUUGAGAGUAUACCCACUGGAGAUGCAAUUUUUUUGAAGGUAUAUAUGCUGACUUAUACUCAUUUAAAAAGUAUUAGUUUUUUUUAGAUGUUACAAUUUUAUUCACUCAAUCUCCGUAUGUUAAAAAAACAAUUGGCAUACACUGUAUUGUAAAGUGUGUUUAAGUCCGACAGACAAGUAGGCAGAACUAUGUAAAAUAAUUUGAACGAAUAAUUAAUACUAGUAAUAAAGCUCAUUCUAUGGACUGAACACUUUUAUGUGCAGUGGAUACUCCAUCUACAGAAUGAUGAUGCUUGCAUCAAGAUCCUCAAGAACUGCCACCGUGCUCUUCCAGCCAGCGGUAAGGUGAUCGUCGUGGAAAUCGUCCUGCCGGCCACCACGGAGGCGACUCGUGAGGCGCAGGAUAUGUUCCUUCUAGACGUCAUCAUGUUCAACAACCUUGAGGGUGGAAAGGAGAGGACUGAGCAGGAUUUUGUAAACAUGGCUAGGCUCUCUGGGUUCGAUGGUGCCUUCCGUUCCACCUACAUCUUCGGUAACUUCUGGGCCCUCGAGUUCAACAAGUAGCUGCCAUGGUCAUGCAGACUGCAGCAACUCCGAUAUGGAUAUAUCUACGCCAUGCCUGAAUCGUUGUUUCUAUUAAUCUCUUCUCCUGUAUGUAUUACUUCGACUGUAUCCUUGUUUACAUUAAUGUUGUAUAAGCUGGGCAACAGUAC